RNAcentral lists this unclassified non-coding RNA (142 nucleotides) under Flavobacterium hercynium. RNAcentral's name for it is "Flavo-1 RNA". Lineage: Bacteria; Pseudomonadati; Bacteroidota; Flavobacteriia; Flavobacteriales; Flavobacteriaceae. The record is from RNAcentral.
UCCUAGCCCAGAUUGCAGUGAAAAGCCCGGAGUAAAAAAGCAAAAGUUUCUUGUUUUAAAAAAGCGACCAACGGAAGCUCUUUUUAGGACAUUAGAAACUUUGCUUUUUUAGGAGGACUUGUAACGAAAAGCUGGAAUUGCU